This 440-nucleotide ribosomal RNA is filed under the name uncultured bacterium. Its description in RNAcentral is "partial 16S ribosomal RNA". It matches the Rfam family "Bacterial small subunit ribosomal RNA", at positions 338 to 795 of the family's 1533-position model. The record is from RNAcentral.
CCUACGGGAGGCAGCAGUAGGGAAUAUUGCUCAAUGGGGGAAACCCUGAAGCAGCAACGCCGCGUGGAGGAUGAAGGUUUUCGGAUUGUAAACUCCUUUUGUUAGAGAAGAUAAUGACGGUAUCUAACGAAUAAGCACCGGCUAACUCCGUGCCAGCAGCCGCGGUAAUACGGAGGGUGCAAGCGUUACCCGGAAUCACUGGGCGGAAAGAGCGCGUAGGCGGGAUAGCAAGUCAGAUGUGAAAUCCUAUGGCUUAACCAUAGAACUGCAUUUGAAACUGGUAUUCUAGAGUAUGGGAGAGGUAGGUGGAAUUCUUGGUGUAGGGGUAAAAUCCGUAGAGAUCAAGAGGAAUACUCAUUGCGAAGGCGACCUGCUAGAACAUAACUGACGCUGAUGCGCGAAAGCGUGGGGAGCAAACAGGAUUAGAUACCCUUGUAGUC